AAAAGAAUAGGCAAAACUUUUUUAAUGCGAAAAAACGUUAUAAAGAAAUGAUAGAGAAAUUAAUUGUGGUCUCGGGCCCUCUACUUGUUUAAGGUAUACAUCUCCAUGAAUUUAUCAUGCUUAGAAUAUUUAUCCCUGGAUCUUACGCAACCAACAGUCCUUCUAUUAAACGAUUAUUUUCAUAACGUGACGAAAGGCAGAAUAUCUUCACAAUUACAAUGUUCCCGUGUUUACCUCUCCUAAAACAACACGUCAUAUUGGGUUUGAAAGCGGACAGCAUGGUUUAUAUCUAACAAUAUUUUGCAUCUAUCAUCUCAAAUUUUUUCGCCCGGGUAUAAAGAGGUACCCUUAAAUAACGCAUAGAUUGCUAUCUGCUUUAUAUCAUGAUGAAAGUACCAAGGCAACAAUUCAUUUAAUUCUAAAUCUAUCAUUUCAGCUAAAAAGUCUGAUCCUUUUUGUCAUAUAAAGAGACUUUUUUUUAUUGACAUAUUUAAUUCUUGAAAAGUACAGUUAAGUUUUACCCCUGACAUAUGCCAUCGCCAAUUAAUGUUACAAAUUGUAUAUAGCCACACCUUACUCAUUAAACUAUGUAAUCCAUCAAAUGGUCCGAGACCACAAUUGUCGUCCCUAGUCCCUGGUGUUGACAGUGGGUUACUUGCCAAUAUUUUUCAUACCCCUUCCAAAUUUAUUUCUUCAUGUGUUAUGCCUCAAAUUGGAAGUAGAGGGUGAAAUUACACUGUAAAAAAAUUUGGGUCCAGAAUUUUAAAGGGAAGUAGUGAUUUGGUCCAGCUGAAAAAGGUUAAAAAUUAGCACUUCGGAAGAUGCCAAAAGAUUUCAAGACGUCCUAAACAUAAAAUUGUUCAUAUUUUGAGUUAGAGCCGAUGACGUUUCUAUAAUUUUGAUAUAAUUUGUCCCAAAAGUAGUUCAAUGCUAUCUUGAGAGCCGAUAUGGAAACUCUUCCCGGUAAACAGUACGUAAAAUAUUUAAAACCGUAUUGGACAGAGACUGUGAAAGAAUAUCAUACAAUUAUGAGAUUAUAACGUCGAACAUGGAUUGAGAAUGGUAAAUUUCAUGACCGUAAUGACAAACAUUACAGUGAUUACAAAAGCGCUAAACUGAAUUUUAGAAAACAGCUUGAGCUAGCAUAUGAAAACUACAUUAGUGAAAUAAAUCGUAAAAUCGAAGAAUCUGUCGACUGUGAUCAACGUUUUGUAUGGUCUGUGAUAAAAAGUGGACGCAAAUAUGUAUCGCAUUGUCAACAAUUAAAUAUUAACGGUAUUCAACUCAUUUUUUCAGACGAAAUACGUGACGGUUGGGUGACUCAUUUCCAAUCUGUAUUCAGUUUCGAUAGCAACUUGAUCAACCCUGUGAAUGAAAAAGCUAUCGAUAAUACUAUCAACGACUUGUUAGAAACCGUCCGUACAAACACAAACGAAAAUAUCGAGGAAUUUACUUUCGACGAACUAUAUAAACUUUGUGACAAUUUGCCGUGUAACAAAUCUCCAGGGUUAGAUGGAAUCUGUUACGAACAUUUGAAAUACGGCGGAAAUAAAGGCAACAGUA
This 1563-nucleotide long non-coding RNA is filed under the name Mytilus galloprovincialis (Mediterranean mussel). Lineage: Eukaryota; Metazoa; Mollusca; Bivalvia; Mytilida; Mytilidae. The record is from RNAcentral.